UACAGAGGGGGCAAGCGUUGUUCGGAGUUACUGGGCGUAAAGGGCGUGUAGGCGGUAUGUUAAGUCUGGCGUGAAAGCUCUCGGCUAAACCGGGAGAGGUCGUUGGAUACUGGCAAACUAGAGGAUGGUAGAGGCGUGUGGAAUUCCGGGUGUAGUGGUGAAAUGCGUAGAGAUCCGGAGGAACACCAGUGGCGAAGGCGACACGCUGGGCCAUACCUGACGCUAAAGCGCGACAGCAUGGGGAGCAAACGGG
Molecule: ribosomal RNA, 253 nt
Filed under: uncultured bacterium
Lineage: Bacteria
Description: partial 16S ribosomal RNA
Rfam family: Bacterial small subunit ribosomal RNA
Source: RNAcentral